Molecule: ribosomal RNA, 253 nt
Filed under: uncultured Prevotella sp.
Lineage: Bacteria; Pseudomonadati; Bacteroidota; Bacteroidia; Bacteroidales; Prevotellaceae
Description: partial 16S ribosomal RNA
Rfam family: Bacterial small subunit ribosomal RNA
Source: RNAcentral
UACGGAAGGUCCGGGCGUUAUCCGGAUUUAUUGGGUUUAAAGGGAGCGUAGGCCGGCUUUUAAGUCAGCUGUGAAAGUCCGCGGCUCAACCGUGGAAUUGCAGUUGAAACUGGAGGCCUUGAGUGCACACAGGGGUGCCGGAAUCCAUGGUGUAGCGGUGAAAUGCUUAGAUAUCACACAGAACACCGAUUGCGAGGGCAGCUUUCCAAGCUAUUACUGACGCUGAGGCACGAAAGCGUGGGGAGCGAACAGG